UGGGGAAUAUUGGACAAUGGGGGAAACCCUGAUCCAGCGACGCCGCGUGUGUGAAGAAGGCCUGCGGGUUGUAAAGCACUUUCGGUGGGAACGAAAUAUGCCGGGCUAAUACCCCGGUAGGCUGACGUUACUCAAUGAAGAAGCACCGGCUAACUCUGUGCCAGCAGCCGCGGUAAUACAGAGGGUGCGAGCGUUAAUCGGAAUUACUGGGCGUAAAGCGCACGUAGGUGGCUAUGUAAGUCGGGUGUGAAAUCCCCGGGCUCAACCUGGGAACUGCAUUCGAGACUGCAUAGCUGGAGUACGGAAGAGGAGGGCGGAAUUCCCGGUGUAGCGGUGAAAUGCGUAGAUAUCGGGAGGAACAUCAGUGGCGAAGGCGGCCCUCUGGUCCAGUACUGACACUCAAGUGCGAAAGCGUGGGGAGCAAACAGGAUUAGAUACCCAAGUAGUCCCUGAGCGGGCUGGCAAGGCGCAU
Molecule: ribosomal RNA, 472 nt
Filed under: uncultured bacterium
Lineage: Bacteria
Description: bacterial SSU rRNA
Rfam family: Bacterial small subunit ribosomal RNA
Source: RNAcentral